This 890-nucleotide ribosomal RNA is filed under the name uncultured bacterium. RNAcentral's name for it is "bacterial SSU rRNA". It matches the Rfam family "Bacterial small subunit ribosomal RNA", at positions 615 to 1501 of the family's 1533-position model. The record is from RNAcentral.
GUGGAGGGUCAUUGGAAACUGGAGGACUUGAGUGCAGAAGAGGAGAGUGGAAUUCCACGUGUAGCGGUGAAAUGCGUAGAGAUGUGGAGGAACACCAGUGGCGAAGGCGACUCUCUGGUCUGUAACUGACGCUGAGGCGCGAAAGCGUGGGUAGCGAACAGGAUUAGAUACCCUGGUAGUCCACGCCGUAAACGAUGAGUGCUAAGUGUUAGAGGGUUUCCGCCCUUUAGUGCUGCAGUUAACGCAUUAAGCACUCCGCCUGGGGAGUACGGCCGCAAGGCUGAAACUCAAAGGAAUUGACGGGGGCCCGCACAAGCGGUGGAGCAUGUGGUUUAAUUCGAAGCAACGCGAAGAACCUUACCAGGUCUUGACAUCCCGCUGACCGGUAUAGAGAUAUACCUUUCCCUUCGGGGACAGCGGUGACAGGUGGUGCAUGGUUGUCGUCAGCUCGUGUCGUGAGAUGUUGGGUUAAGUCCCGCAACGAGCGCAACCCUUAAUCUUAGUUGCCAGCAUUCAGUUGGGCACUCUAAGGUGACUGCCGGUGACAAACCGGAGGAAGGUGGGGAUGACGUCAAAUCAUCAUGCCCCUUAUGACCUGGGCUACACACGUGCUACAAUGGAUGGUACAAAGGGUCGCAAAACCGCGAGGUCAAGCUAAUCCCAUAAAACCAUUCUCAGUUCGGAUUGCAGGCUGCAACUCGCCUGCAUGAAGCCGGAAUCGCUAGUAAUCGUAGAUCAGAAUGCUACGGUGAAUACGUUCCCGGGCCUUGUACACACCGCCCGUCACACCACGAGAGUUUGUAACACCCGAAGUCGGUGGGGUAACCCUUACGGGAGCUAGCCGCCGAAGGUGGGACAGAUGAUUGGGGUGAAGUCGUAACAAGGUAACC